GGGCCAAAUGUGGCACCGUCUAAGAGCCAUUCUAAAUCUACUUUUAGUACUGGAUCAAGAUAUGGUGAUUCUGAACUGGAAAGCAUGCCCCAGAGAUUCAGGAACGAAGAAUUUCCUGAAACGUGGUAUAGUCAGUUUAUGGAAAAGCAUAAAGCUAGUAGACCAUACAGGUUGUCAUUUGGAGACAGAGAGUUGGACAAACGUUCACCUGAGGAAAUGUCUAAUUAUCUUGGACUUCUUGAUAAGCAUAAGAGAAGGCGUCUUGCAUUUACACCAAGUAUGCAUACCAGUUCUGUUUUAGAUGAUGAGGAUGUAACCUUUUUCCCUGAAACAAUGUUUAUGUCAAAUUGUGUACCUGAUAGUGCACUUCCGCUGAUAAUUCGAACUGAAAGCAAUGAAAAAAUUGAGUUUCAUGGAGUUCUUGAUGCAUUACCUCAGACCAGGAGUUCUGUUGUGAUAGAGAGGCUUGGUAUUAGUGUGGAACAAGGAGGAAGUUUACAUCGUCCGAAAAAUGGGUCUGAAGGAAAUAGGAAACUUCUUGGUCAACAGCAAGCAUCACAGAUGUGUCAGAAGGUAGUGGCCCGUAUUUUGGCACAGAAGGGGUUUGAAAGUGCAACAGAAGUUCCAGUGGAAGUCUUAUCUCGAUUGCUUAGGUGUCAUAUUAGUAAACUGGGCCGUAUUUUGAAAGUUUUUGCUGAUAGUUAUAGGAAACAAUGUUCGGCAAUUGACCUAAUUAAGAUGUUUCUUCAAACAGCAGGAUAUAGUAAUCUUGGCAAUUUGAUGGAGCUUAAGGAUGGGACUAAGAAUAUUGUGCAACAAACGCAACAACAAAUACACGGAAUGCAGUCACAUUUGCAGCCUCAGCACCAGAGCACGCUUCGGUUAC
RNAcentral lists this unclassified non-coding RNA (886 nucleotides) under Hevea brasiliensis (rubber tree). The record is from RNAcentral. Lineage: Eukaryota; Viridiplantae; Streptophyta; Magnoliopsida; Malpighiales; Euphorbiaceae.